RNAcentral lists this ribosomal RNA (503 nucleotides) under uncultured bacterium. Its description in RNAcentral is "bacterial SSU rRNA". It matches the Rfam family "Bacterial small subunit ribosomal RNA", at positions 24 to 518 of the family's 1533-position model. The record is from RNAcentral.
UCAGGAUGAACGCUAGCGACAGGCCUAACACAUGCAAGUCGAGGGGCAGCGCGGGAGAAGCUUGCUUUCCUGGCGGCGACCGGCGCACGGGUGCGUAACAGGUGUGCAAUCUGUCCAUAGUCGGGGGAUAGCCCAGCGAAAGCUGAAUUAACACUCCAUGUGAAUCGAAGCCGCAUGACUUUGAUUUGAAACGCAAGGACUAUGGGUGAGCACGCUUCUGAUUAGCUAGUUGGUGGGGUAACGGCUCACCAAGGCGACGAUCAGUAGGGGUUCUGAGAGGAAGGUCCCCCCACAUUGGAACUGAGACACGGUCCAAACUCCUACGGGAGGCAGCAGUGAGGAAUAUUGGUCAAUGGGCGAGAGCCUGAACCAGCCAAGUCGCGUUGAAGGAUGAAGGUUCUAUGGAUUGUAAACUUCUUUUGUCCGAGGGUAAAAAAGGCCACGUGUGGCUUCUUGCAAGUAUCGGACGAAUAAGCAUCGGCUAACUCCGUGCCAGCCGCUGC